UGGGAUGUGUAAGUGGAAACAUGAGAGACCGCUUUAUUUGGCAGUGCUUUGGAAAAAAAAAAAAAGCAGGACAAAUGGCAAGGCAGUGUUUGGACCGCAGGAUGAACAAUCAAUAGGCAGAAAGCAAGAUAGAGGCUUCCUCAGCUUCUGGAUCGACAAUCGACAGCUGAGAGACUAUUUUUUGCUAUGGUUGACUAAAUAUGGUCAGGGAAGAGAGAGGCACAAGAGAGCCUGUUUGCCUGGGAGUGCAUGUUUCAAAUGCUUAGCUGCCUAUAAAGCUGUAACAGUUCAGCCUGUGGCCACUGAGGGAAGAAUAUAAGUUAACCUUUGUAGUGACCAUGUGGAAGUCCUGACCUUGCUUGCAGACUUGACCUCUGGAUAUGACAAGGUAGCUUCAAUACAGAUCUACCAUUUAAUCCUGGAAACUAAAACAAACAAAAAAAAUCUCACAGCAAGAAAGAUGCAGAAUAUUUCCUGAGAAGUCAGAAGACCCCAAUGUAUUCUGGUGCGCAAAGAAAACAGGGUGAAUGUCUACAGUUACUUGGGGGGAGCAAGAACCAAACCAGGACAAAGUUCAACAGAUAACUGGUCAAAGUUUAAAAGUGUAUGUCCACCAAGAACAAGGAACCAUGAAUGGCACUAAUGCCAUGCCUCAGAUACUAAAAGUAAAACCGCUCAAGUAGAAGUCCGUGACGACUUGACAACCAUUCUUGAAAAGCACUUUGAAGGUAUCAGCCCACUAUCUUCUGGCCUCCAAAGUUUUUGAUGAGAAAUCUGUUGAAAAUCUUAAAAGGAUCGAAGUGAAGAGUCGUUUCUCUCUUGCUGCUUUCAAGAUUCUCUCUUUGUCUUUUGAAAGUUUGAUUAUAAUGUAUCUCAAUGUGGGGCUGAGUUCAUCCUAUUUGGAAUUCAUUCUGCUUUUUGGAUGUUUAUAGCUUUCAUCAAAUCUGGGGAGUUUCUAGCCAUUGUUUCUUCAAAUAACCUCUCUGCCCCUUUCUCUCUUCCUGCCUUCUCUUUCUAGGAUUCUCACAAUGCGUAUGGUGGUCCACUUGAUGAUGCCCCACAGGUCCCUUAGCCUCUCUUCAUUUUUCUUCAGUCUUUUUUCUUUCUGUGUCUCAGACUCGAUCAUUUCCAUUGUCCUAUCUUCCAGUUCACUGGUUCUUUCUUCUGCCUGGUUAAAUCUCUCUUUGAAUUCCCCUAUGAAUUUUUCAUUUAAGUUCUUGUACUUUUCAGCUUUGGAAUUUGUUUUUAGUUUCUUUUUAGGUGAUCUAUGUCUUCAUUGAUAUUUCCAUUUUGUUCAUACAUAAUUUUCUUGACUUUCUACACAUCUUCAUUUAGUUCUUUGAGAAUCUUUAAGACAACUGUUUUAGAGUCAUUGUCUAGUAGAUUGCCAUCUGGUUUUUCUCAGGUACAUUUACUUGUUGGUUUAUUUUUUUUCCUUUGAAUGGGCCAUACUUUCCUAUUUUGCUGUUUACCUUGUGAUUUUUCUGUUGAAAAGUGGACAUUUGAAUCUAAUAAAGCCAUAAGUCUGGAAAUCAGAGUCUUCUCCUUCUGCAGGGUUUGUUUUUGGUUUUGGUUUGGUUUUGACUGUUUUAGACUGUCUUCAUGCUUACAGCCUGAGGUGUAAACUUAAGGUCUCCUUGGGUCUUUUCUGAGCCUGCACCUUUCCUCAGGUAUGUGCAAUGCCUUUCUUAUUUCCCUCAUAUAUGCAGUUGCUUUUGAAUGUCAUAGUCUUUAAUGCCAGGCUCCCAAAAUGAGAAAAAGAGAAAAAUGGGAGGGGAAGCGGAAAAGAGCGCAGACCUUUAAAUCCUCUGGAAGUAACUUCAGCCAAUGAGGAAGGGCUUGCAACAAUGGGAGGGUGUAACAAUGGCUACCCACCUCUGUGCCUGCACCUCCAUAAUCAGAAGCAGCAAUCAAGGAUUAGAAUACCCUGCAAGCUGAUCUAAGAACACAUACCUGGCUGCCUGUCACUGGGCUGGAGGGUGGGGUAUGUAGCUCCUGCUGAGCUAAGAGCUGAAAUUGACCAAAAUUAACCACAAUUAACCCCUAAGCCUUCCCUUGGAAGUAGCAAGCCUUCAACAGAAGCCAGAGUUCUAAAAUAGUUACAUCAGAAAGAUUCUGCCAGUGCAGUUGUCUAGAUGGGGAGAUGGAUUCCUAGUACUUCCUACUCCACCAGAAUCCUCUUGGUAACCAUCAUGAUUUUUUGUUUUUUGUGUUUUUUUGGCUGCGUUGUGUCUUUGUUGCUGCGCGAGGGCUUUAUCUAGUUGCAGCGAGCGGGGGUUACUCUUCAUUGCAGCGCGUGGGCUUCCCAUUGCUGUGGCUUCUCUUGUUGCGGAGCAUAGGCUCUAGGCACAUAGGCUUCAGUAGCUGUGGCACACAGGCUCAGGAGUUGUGGCUCGCAGGCUGAGUAGUUGUGGCACACGAGCUUAGUUGCUCCGUGGCACAUAGGAUCUUCCUGGACAAGGGCUUGAACCCAUGUCCCCUGCACUGGCAGGCAGAUUCUUAACCAUUGCACCACCAGGGAAGUCCCCAUGAUUUUUGCCAUCAAUGAAAUUAAAUAUUUCCUGAACUCACUGAUAUUUUCAGUAAAUUAGGUCAACUAUUAUAUUAUUAGGUCAAUAUUUUAUUAUUCUCAAAUAUAAUAUUGUACUUCAUCUUAUUUUCCUUAAAACUUGUUCAGUUAAUCAAGAUGCUGGUAUUGUGAUCAUAUUAAAACCUUUAGAUUGUCUGGAAAUGGUAUAUUCUGGAUUGUUCGUUCAUUCAUUUACUCAUUCCUUCAAUGAGUAUUUACUAGGUGCCUACUAUGAGCUCAGUACCGUUCUGGACACUGGAGAACAACAAUGGGCAAGAUAAAGUUCACCCUCAUGGAGUUUACAUUCUAGUGGGGGAGACAGAAUAUUAUAAAUGAAAUAAAUAAAUAAAAUGUAAAUGUUAGGUAGUACAAAGUGCCAAGGGGAAAAAACAGCAGGGAAAAAAGAUUAGAUAAGACAGCCAAGGGAUGGCCCCUCCCAAGGAAGGUUUGAGUAAAUACCUGAAAGAAGUGAGAGAGAAGGCCAUGAAGAUAUUUGGGAGAAGAGAAGUGUGAGGAGACCAGCACAGUGGCGGCAGGAAAGAUGAAAACUGUUUAAAUUCUGGAUAUAUUUUAAAGAGCUAACAGGAUUUAGUGAUAGACCAAAUGAGGAACAUGGGGGGAAAAAAGAGGAAUCAACGAAUGAUGAUUCUUAAGACCCAACUUGCACAACUAAAUUUACUGAUAAGGGAGAACUAUAAAAUUAUGAUAUGUCCCCUUUUAAAACCUGACCUCUUUUAUUUGGGCAAUCUUAGAUUGCAGUCUGCCUUCCUCUAAAAGGCACCUUAACGACUGUUUUCUGGGUCUUAUAAAUCAAAUCUUUCUCUUGACAUCCCAUGUUUUUAAUAGUGCCAGUGUUUCAGGUGGGGGCAUGUAGGGAGGUGGGAAAGCCUCUAGUCACAACCUGAAUUAACAUGGAUCCCCAGGAACCACGUAUACCAAUUCCUAGAGCCAUUCUGGAUAUUAUUAUUCUGAGUUCUGCCUUGUUUUUAAGAAAAGAAUUUCCUUAAACUUACCAGUCUUAAAGUCUACUUGCCCAUUCCUUUUCAGAUUACAGUUAAAUAAAAUGUUUCUACAGUUUGGUUUUCAUUAACUAGAUAAGCAGAAUCAGACAGAAUUAGCACCUGGGGUUUUUUUUGAGAAACUGUGCUAACUCCCACUAGUUGGAAAGAAAUCUUUAAUAAGAACAGUCAGGUACUUCACUGGUGGCACAGUGGUUAAGAAUCCAUGUGCCAGUGCAGGGGACAUGGGUUCAAGCCCUGGUCCGGGAAGAUCCCACAUGCUGCGGAGCAACUAAGCCCAUGUGCCACAACUACUGAGCCUGCGCUCUAGAGCCCGCGAGCCAAAACUACUG
This is a long non-coding RNA of Physeter macrocephalus (sperm whale), 3920 nucleotides long. RefSeq lists it as uncharacterized. The record is from RefSeq and is a predicted model, not a curated record. NCBI's taxonomy places the organism in Eukaryota, Metazoa, Chordata, Mammalia, Artiodactyla, Physeteridae. The transcript has 4 exons.